This 429-nucleotide long non-coding RNA is filed under the name Manihot esculenta (cassava). RNAcentral's name for it is "long non-coding RNA (MESC_LNC002194)". The record is from RNAcentral. Lineage: Eukaryota; Viridiplantae; Streptophyta; Magnoliopsida; Malpighiales; Euphorbiaceae.
GGCUUUGGCGAGUGGGUGGGUGGGUGGCUGCGGGACUGGCUACUGGGUGGGUGGAUGGCCGUGGCUGCGGGACUGAACUGAAGGACGAGAACGGAGAAGGGACGAGAAUGGUGAGGAGUCUGGCGAUCGUCUGAGACUGAGGUUUGAGAGAGAGGUUUGAGAGAGAGGGAGGUAGGUGGGACUUGGGAAGUGCCGAUUGCAAAGUGAAAGUGAUAUAAUAACCUAUCAUAAAACGCAGCGUUUAAAGCUAAUUCGGUCGGUUCGGUUCGACCGAAUUAUUUUGUCUCCAAAACCGAACCGAACCGAUCAACCCGAAAUUUUUAAAAAUUAAAACCAAACCGAACCGAUUUUAUUUUAAAACCGAACCAAAUUACUAAAUUAAAUCGGUUCGGUCGGUUAUUUCGGUUCUAACCGAAAAAUGCUCACCCC